Molecule: ribosomal RNA, 497 nt
Filed under: uncultured bacterium
Lineage: Bacteria
Description: partial 16S ribosomal RNA
Rfam family: Bacterial small subunit ribosomal RNA
Source: RNAcentral
GAUGAACGCUGGCGGCGUGCCUAAUACAUGCAAGUCGAGCGAACAGACGAGGAGCUUGCUCCUCUGACGUUUGCGGCGGACGGGUGAGUAACACGUGGAUAACCUACCUAUAAGACUGGGAUAACUUCGGGAAACCGUAGCUAAUACCGGAUAAUAUAUUGAACCGCAUGGUUCAAUAGUGAAAGACGGUUUUGCUGUCACUUAUAGAUGGAUCCGCGCCGCAUUAGCUAGUUGGUAAGGUAACGGCUUACCAAGGCAACGAUGCGUAGCCGACCUGAGAGGGGGAACGGCCACACGGGAACUGAGACAAGGUCCAGACUCCUACGGGAGGCAGCAGUAGGGAAUGUUCCGCAAUGGGAGAAAGCCUGACGGAGCAAGGCCGCGUGAGUGAUGAAGGUCUUCGGAUCGUAAAACUCUGUUAUUAGGGAAGAACAAAUGUGUAAGUAAAUAUGCACGUCUUGACGGUACCUAAACAGAAAGCAACGGCUAACUACGUG